RNAcentral lists this unclassified non-coding RNA (3120 nucleotides) under Hevea brasiliensis (rubber tree). The record is from RNAcentral. Lineage: Eukaryota; Viridiplantae; Streptophyta; Magnoliopsida; Malpighiales; Euphorbiaceae.
UUGACGCUCAAAAUAACCUUUAUUCCCAAGCAAAAAUUGAAAAAUUUCCACCUAAAUUUGGUCCAUUGUAGAUCCAAAAUAUAAACAUAGGUUUCAUCAUACAUAUUGCAUCUUGGAUCCAUGUUAGACCAAGUUUAGGUAAGAAAAAUCUACAAAAAUAAUACAAAACUUCGUUUCUCGUUACAACACAAUCAGAAUCACAAAACCCUCACAACGAGACAGGCCUAGAAACAAACAUCAAAAAAAUGUAAUGCAGAAAUUUCCAAAUGUUGGUUAUACCCAAGGAAUAAACAUGAGAACAACCAAGAGUAUCAGCAAAUUGAACCAAGGAGAUAAAAAAAAAUUGUGUUGAAGCCAACCGUCAGCCAUCCUAGAAAACAAAAUAAGAAACUGGAAACGCAGUAAGUAUUAACCUCCAGAGUGGGAGACUGGAGUAGUUACAAAGCGACCAUCCUUAAAUUCAUUUACAAACUGUUGCGGCAAAGCAUGCUCCACCUAUAAAAGAAGGAUUAAUAAAAUUAAUUCAAAAUUUCAUAAUUCACACGCACAAGCAGCUGAUUUUUGUACACCAUAUUAGAGGAUUAAAAAAAUGUUGAACUCAAAUAUGACAACAGUUCUUGAAAUAUAUGUCAAAUGUAUCACCAGUGAAUAACAAAAUUUAGUAUGCUGUAACAGAGAUUUAUGGGAGCUUAUUUUUAUAGAGAUGUUUAUGACAACAAAUAUUGCAAAUAUAGCAUGCAUUUGAAAAGUUAUCCACAUCAAGCACCAAAAUAAAUGCCAGCUUCUUUAGUUGUCUGGUCAAAACAAUACAGAAAUCAAGCUUUGACUAUCAUGCAUUGUAAAUCUCAAGAAUCUAAAGCUAAAAAUCCAUAAACCAACCAGGAUGCAAAGUCACGCAAAGACCUAUCUUUUAUAUAGCCUAAUUAAGGUAGUUUUUCAAAAAUGCUACAGCACUUCAAUCCCUCCAAAAAUCAUCUAUUUAACAUCUUAAAUUUAGGUAAAAUCAGUCCCAUCAAAAUCACAUAGACAGCAUAAAAUAAUAUUCCCAUCGUCACAAUUAUGUUUAUAUCUGCAGAGGUCAACUGCCACAGCCCCAAUAUACAAUUUAAUUAGGGAGGUGUCUCAUACUUGAAGUGAAAGGCACUCAAUAUUCCCACCAUGUCUCAUGCAGCGAGCUCAUAGAAGUCAAAAGGCGCCUGAUAUUUUUAUAAUUGAAGCACUCUGAAAAUGUCUCCUUUUGCUACCAUGCAAAAGCCAAUAACUAAUGCAUCUAGGCAUUAUUCAAUUAUCAGAAACUCUUCCUUGUACACUUUCUAAUAUGAAAAUGUCCAGGACAGAAUUAACCAAAAAAAAAAACUAUUAACAAAAUCAGAAUGUGUUAAAAAAAUCCAAGCAGAUGCUUGGCAAAAAAUGGAAAUGAUAUUUUUGCAUCCGCUAGAAAGUGAAAGAAUCUUUGCAUAAACCAGCCACCCAGUUCCUGCAAACUCUUUAAAUAAACCAUAAUUUAAGCAGAAAAAUGAAUGAUGAAUGAUCAACUAAAUCUUUGGGAAGUUAAAGAAAGGAAAAUGUUUGAAACUUACCCAAUCACCAUUAGGGUCUGCACCUGGUACCAAAACAUUGAUUUCACUUGACUUGGCAGUCGUUAUAGAUGCUCCCAAAGAAUCUUUGCUUAAAUAUAACUGGCAGCCUGAUGUGUUGUCCACAGAAACGGUUGGGGCUGAACCCUGGCAUUGCACCUCAACACCACUGCAAUUCACAAUCUCACAUGCAGCCACAACAUCCAUAAAUACAACUCCCAUCUUAGUGCAUUUGUCAACGGUUAUAUUGUUGACUUUCCCUUGAAUCUGCAAAACAGAAUCUUUGCAACCAAAAACAUAUACAGACUGUUUUGCAUCACAGUCAUCAAUUACUAAAUUCCUUUUUCCAAUUUGAUUCUCAACAACCCACUUACGACCCAUUUGAAGCUCAAGUUUUGGAGGUCCUGCCUUAGAAAUAGAAGCUGAACUAGUACGGCCUUCUUUUUCACUGGCACUAACAACACCAGUUCUAUCUGCAAGGUUCUUUGUCUUCAUAUCAGCUGAGACCUUUCUAAGACCUGCAGUCACAGACUUGCUUGUGUUGAUUUCUUGGAAAACAGCAGCCAUCCCUUCUUUUGGCUUUGAUGACGAAGGCUGAGAAGAUUCAGCACUGAAGAGAUAAGCUGGUGGAGGUGGUGGAGGAGCAGGAGCUUUAGAUGUAGAAGAAGUUGGUGCUUUGCCAGAAACACCCCAUGUUGGGCCCAAGGGAUAAUGACUCUUAACAUAAUCCCUCAAACCUGGAAGAUAUAACUCCUUCAUGGCUUUGGCCCACUCAACAUGAUUUGGGUCUUUACUUUUGUACUCUACAAGAAUCUUGUUGUUGUAAAAUUCCGCCAUUUGCCAACUAUCUUCAACAUGUGCAAUAGGCAUGCUCAUACCACAAUCUUUUCCUGUAUAGGCAAUCCAUGCCAAAGCUGUCAGACUGUCAGCAGCAGACUUCAAGUGGUUAAAGAAAUCAGAUCUCUUUCCCUCCGUCAUUGCAUUUGCUUUCGUGAUCACUUCAUUCAAUGGCUUGAGAAAUUCAGCCAACCCUGCAAGGUCAGGUUUCUGAGUUUUCUUAGCCUUAACGAGAAGCUCCUUCUGAACACUAAAAGCCUCGUGCACAAUAUUCGUGACCUCCAAAACCUGUCCUCCAAUCUUCUCAGCAGCAGCCGAAACCCUACCGAAGAACUGCCCCAAGAGAUCGUCGAACGCAAUAAUUGACGGAUCCGAGGACACAUCAGAUCCGCCAAAGUCCGCAACGCCACGGUCCCUAAACCCCGACGAAGAUAGCACCUCCAAUCGCGCCACAGCCGAUUCAAGCCUGGCAAUCAGCUUCUCCUCCAUGACGAAGAGCGAAGCCCUACCUCACUCCCUCCCUCACUUAACAGAAUACUGACCUUUGUUUCUUUGUUUUGUCUGUUUUCACUUUGUAUCAUAAGAAUGUCAGCUUUCGUCUGAGAUGAGAGCAGAUCUGGGGUCUGAUUGGUGCGUGUGGAUUUUAAUGAGAGAAUGUUUCUGGCGGAGAGACAGGGAUUAGUUUAGGUUCGGAUAUGGGUGUAAU